RNAcentral lists this ribosomal RNA (253 nucleotides) under uncultured bacterium. RNAcentral describes it as "partial 16S ribosomal RNA". It matches the Rfam family "Bacterial small subunit ribosomal RNA", at positions 524 to 776 of the family's 1533-position model. The record is from RNAcentral.
UACGUAGGGGGCAAGCGUUGUCCGGAAUCAUUGGGCGUAAAGCGAGCGUAGGCGGCCCGAUAAGUCCGCUGUGAAAGUCGGGGGCUCAACCCUCGGAUGCCGGUGGAUACUGUCGAGCUUGAGUACGGAAGAGGCGAGUGGAAUUCCUGGUGUAGCGGUGAAAUGCGCAGAUAUCAGGAGGAACACCAAUUGCGAAGGCAGCUCGCUGGGACGUUACUGACGCUGAGACGCGAAAGCGUGGGGAGCAAACAGG